AACGUCGGAGAGAACGAAGGGACGCAACGGAGGCAGGCCGGAGCCGCUGCCGUUGCCAUGACGCGCUGCCGUCGCCAUGACCCGCGGUAACCAGCGCGAGCCCGCCCGCCAGAAGAAUAUGAAAAAGCAGAGCGACUCGGUUAAGGGAAAGCGCCGAGAUGACGGGCUUUCUGCUGCCGCCCGCAAGCAGAGGGACUCGGAGAUCAUGCAGCAGAAGCAGAAAAAGGCAAACGAGAAGGAGGAACCCAAGUAGCUUUGUGGCUUCGUGUCCAACCCGCUUGGCCUUCGCCUGUGUGCCUGGAGCCAGUCCCACCACGCUCGCGUUUUCUCCUGUAGUGCUCACAGGUCCCAGCACCGAUGGCAUUCCCUUUGCCCUGAGUCUGCAGCGGGUCCCUUUUGUGCUUCCUUCCCCUCAGGUAGCCUCUCUUCCCCUGGGCCACGCCUGGGGGUGAGGGGGUCACCCCUUCCCAGUGUUUUUUAUUCCUGUGGGGCUCACCCCAAAGUAUUAAAAGUAGCUUUGUAAUUUCAAAAAAAAAAAAAA
Molecule: RNA transcript, 541 nt
Organism: Odobenus rosmarus divergens (Pacific walrus)
Lineage: Eukaryota; Metazoa; Chordata; Mammalia; Carnivora; Odobenidae
Exons: 1
Source: RefSeq, a predicted model, not a curated record